Long non-coding RNA from Xyrauchen texanus (razorback sucker), 1831 nucleotides. RefSeq lists it as uncharacterized. The transcript is spliced from 7 exons. NCBI's taxonomy places the organism in Eukaryota, Metazoa, Chordata, Actinopteri, Cypriniformes, Catostomidae. The record is from RefSeq and is a predicted model, not a curated record.
GGCUGCUGUUCCAAAAAUUAUAAUUUUUUGCUUGAUUCUUUAUUUCAGCGUUCUUUUAAUUUAAAAGCAAGACUUGCAGUCCAGCGCAUGCGCACCUGACGGCAUUUCCCCUCCCACACACAGCGCAGAAGCACAUGGACUGAGGAUUCGACGUUCUUCUUCGGUAAAUGCAAGAGUACCAGAUGAUGACCUGCUAUGCAGUGGAAAUUUUGCCAUGUCGAUGACUCCUCACGUUACUGUGCAUGACCGUGACAUGUCUGUGAAAUCUUGGAGAAGUGGCCAGCACUUUUCACAGAAAGCCAGGUCUUUGCAGAAUUCAAUCGCAUAUCUGGGGAAAAUCUGAGAUCUGAGUUCUAUGCAGCGUUGGACACGCAUUCUGUAUGUUUGACUGAAAAUUUCGGAGAAAAGGAGGAAAUCAGGGAAGAACAAGUGAUGAAAUUCUGCAUCAUGUUGACUAAAGUCAUCUGAUGUAACACAUGUUUGCACUGCAGUGCUUCAGGGUCUUCCAAUCCUCUUGGGAUGACCCAGAGUAAUUUUUCAGGAUGAGUUUCGAUUCAGAUGUAGAUGCAGGCUUCUGUGAAUUAGAUGUUGGACUGCUCACAGUUUUACCUGAAAGCAAGCCUGCCAAACGUCCACAUGCCCUCAACGUGGAUGCAAUGGAGGGAAGAAUUGUCAUGGAUAAUGUCCCAAAUUUGCCACAUUCUGUAUGUCUCCACUUUGCUUUGAUCUAUGCUCUAAAUUUAGACCAUCCAAAGACAAUGAGGAACACAUUUGAUUUUAUUCAGCAGGUAUUUCUGUCUUUGGGACAAAAAAGACAUUUCUGUCUUUUAAGGGUCUCCAAACCCUUAAAAAUUGUCUUUUAAGCUGAACUUAUUUCUGGCAUAUCUUGCUGUAAUUGCAGUUCAGUUUAAGAAUCUUUCCAAAGACACAUGCAGGUUUUUCCAAUUGUAAAGGCUCUUUUUCUUUUUUUUUUGGAGUUUGCACAGUGCCUGUUCUGCAAGUGCUCUAUACCUUGUUUAUGGCCCAGAUAUUAUGUUGUUAAGCAGCCGAGUGCGUGCUGCAACAGGUUGAAGUCUUGCGAACAGGUUGUUUUUUUUAUUGUGUUGUUCUUAGUUUCAGCUGUUUAUUACGCAAAUAAACAGUUGAGAAUUUCAAACUUGUUAAGUGUGUUAUUUGAACAAGAAAAAUUAUUUUCAGUUUACUUAAAGAGAAUGUGGAAACCGAUUGCACGUAGUAUUUUAAGUGUACACCACUUAAAAGUGAUACAGUAAACUCAUGUUGAGAUUAGUGGUAUUUCAGAUGUAAAGUGAACAAAUUGUAUUAAAUUUAAGUUAAUUGACUUAAUAGAGAAAUCUACUAAAAUAAUUUGUAAGGUUACUAAUUAAUUUAUAGAAAAUUAACCAAAGAAAUUAAGUUAACUACAAAUUUACUAUUAAGUUUAAUAACAAGUUGACAUUACUUGCAUAGGAACAUUAAUAUAACUUAAUUUUAGUAAGCAAGUUUUCUUUGCAGAAAUAAGGCAUUAGGUUUCCUUAAUUUUUAAGUAAACUGAACAUGUAAAAUUUUACAGUGUAUUAAGGUAACACAUUUAAAAUACUGUCUUGUGUAAGACAAUGUAAUGUUUAAACUGUAUUGUACAAAGUAUGGCUAAGUAAUAACAGUUUGAUAUUGAAGACAAAGUGUGCAAUUUGUAGUAUUUUGACUAAGCCAAAGGUGUUACGGAGCAUAUACUUUUUACUCAAAUAUAAUACACUUAUGGUAUAUUGUUUGUAUGUUUUGAAUACACUUGCAAUUAAUUUGUAAUGUACUUGUAACACAAAUAAAGUAUACU